RNAcentral lists this long non-coding RNA (1767 nucleotides) under Salmo salar (Atlantic salmon). Its description in RNAcentral is "lncRNA (ENSSSAG00000100532.1)". The record is from RNAcentral. Lineage: Eukaryota; Metazoa; Chordata; Actinopteri; Salmoniformes; Salmonidae.
AAACAGACUCUGAUGUUAAACGUGGGUUGACUUUCACUUCAUUCUCUUUCUCUGUAGCCUGGUUUUGUGAACUUACUGGACUACCCAGAACCGGACGUGUGCCUAAGGACGUCCAAAUUCAAUAAAAUCUAACAGAAUACGUGAUCAUUGGCUGGACAAUCCUGGACUUUGACAGACUGGCGGUUAAGAAAAGACAUGGCUCAGCUGUGUCUGCACAAGAGGAACAUUACCACCCCCUGUUACUAAAUAUGAUUUGUGAAGGAAGCUGAGCCAAGUGCCUCCCGUCCAGGGGUUAAUGAUGUUGCUUUUCUUUCUGGGUUUGUUUCCUCUCCUUCUCCUUCCUCUCUCAGGGUUUUCUUCAUCGUCUAGUCCCGUGAAGAAUCAUCAAGGUGGUUGUUGCGUACACUUAUCUUCAGACGGCAUCCUUCGACUGUCAAGUCAGAAAGCGUGCAUGUGUAUAGAGGUCACCGUCUGAAUAUGUAAUAGAAGCAGACAUUCCUGGAGAUACAGUUAACAGGACUCAGCGGGGGUUGAGAGUGUUGCAGUAAUCAGGGUUGAGAUGGUGCUUGUUAUAUUGGGCAACUUGCUGGUGGUGGCACAAAUGGAGUGAGUGUGCCUGCAAUUUAAUGUCUGCUGAGUGAGAGUGGUGGUGAGGUGAGAUGGCAGUGGCCCGUAAGCAAUUCCUUGCAGGUUGAUUUUAGUUACCGUGAACAUUUGUAUCCUGUUAGAAAUUCAAAUGAACCAUUUAUAUAUUCACCUUGCCCUCCACCAACAUCUUAUCUAGCCGUCCCUGGUGACAUGUUGCCUGAGGUGUUGACCCCUGUGAAUUGAUCUCUAAGAGAUCCCUUUUCCCCAAGGUGUUAUUCACCCUGCAGGGCAUUAAUGUUAGGUUCCAUAUUACAACUGUAAUGGCCUGGUAUAAUGGGAUAACAGUACAUAUACAGUAUCAGUCAAAAGUUUGGACACACCUACUCAUUCAAGGGUUUUUCUUUAUUUUUACUAUUUUCUAUAUUGUAGAAUAAUAAUGAAGACAUCAAAACUAUGAAAUUACACAAAUGGAAUCAUGUAGUAACCAAAAAAGUGUUAAACAAAUCAAAAUAUAUUUUAGAUUUUAGAUUCUUCAAAGGCUGCUUUUCCUUCACUCUGCGGUCCAACUCAUCCCAAACCAUUUCAAUUGGGUUGAGGUCGGGUGAUUGUGGAGGCCAGGUCAAAUAAAGGUAAAGGAAAAAUAAAGGUAAAAUAAAGAAAAAAAUCUGAUGCAGCACUCCAUCACUCUCCUUCUUGGUCAAAUAUUCCUUACACAGCCUGGAAGUGUGUUGGGUCAUUGUCCUGUUGAAAAACAAAUGUUAGUCCCACUAAGCACAAACCAGAUGGGAUGGCGUAUCGCUGCAGAAUGCUGUGGUAGCCAUGCUGGUUAAGUGUGCCUUGAAUUCUAAAUAAAUCACAGACAGUUUCACCAGCAAAGCACCCCCACACCAUCACGCCACCUCCUCCAUGGUUCACGAUGGAAACCACACAUGCAGAGAUCAUCCGUUCACCUACUCUGCGUCUCACAAAGAUACGGCGGUUGGAACCAAAAAUCUCACAUUUGGACUCAUCAGACCAAAGGACAGAUUUCCACCAGUCUAAUGUCCAUUGCUCGUGUUUCUUGGCCCAAGCAAGUCUCUUCUUCUUAUUGGUGUCCUUUAGUAGGGGUUUCUUUGCAGUAAUUUGACCAUUUAAGGCCUGAUUCACACACUCUCCUCUGAACAGUUGAUGUUGAGAUGU